RNAcentral lists this long non-coding RNA (1704 nucleotides) under Triticum aestivum (bread wheat). RNAcentral describes it as "long non-coding RNA (TAES_LNC021453)". Lineage: Eukaryota; Viridiplantae; Streptophyta; Magnoliopsida; Poales; Poaceae. The record is from RNAcentral.
CCCUCCCACUCGCUCCUCCCCCUCUCCACCUCGCUCGCUCCGCCUGCCUCACCUCGCCGAGUGCAGUCAGGGCCUCGCCGCCGUAGGAGCCGCCGCCAUCGUCCUCCGCACGCCUCGAGACCCUGCUCAGAAGACGCGCCGCCGUCCGCUACUUCCUCUACGCCCAGGAACGCGAGCUGGGGAGCCCUCCGUCGCUAGAUCGCCUUCAACUUCCUCCCCGACACCGACAAACUCCGUCGCCCCGAUUCGCCGCCCUCCUGCGCUCCUAAGCCCAUCGCCGGCCACCGUGUGCCUCACUGUGAGCCCCGCACCUUUUUCCCCCUCUCCUCGUUGCCCCGUGCGCUAUAGCCACUUCCCCUGCUCGAGGCCGACGCCGCUGUCCGCCAUGGCGGACGAGCACGUCGCUGCUGUGCCACUUAGCCUCGUCUGUGGAUGCGUGUGUGCUCUAGGAGCUGCGUAGAUGCCGCCUACCACCUCCGUUUGGUCGAUCCGUGGACAUUUUUCUCAGGCUCGUCAUGUCCAAGCCGCCACCAUCGCGAGCGUUCGCCACUGCCAUUGACCCUGUGCAUCCCCGUGCCCCCAGUCACCUUAGAUCGAUGCGCGGCUUCGUCCGCAUCCCUCGCCACGCCCCUGCUCGUGUCGCCGAGCCCCUGCCUGUGCGCCCUCGCGUCCACGGCCGCGUCCGGCUGUGCGCUACCAUGCCUCCGCGUGCACCGGCCUGCGCGUGGCCUCACCCACCUGCUCCUGGACGCGCCCCUGCGCCUUCCCACGCUCGCGCGUCCGCCCGCUACCUGUACCUGCUACUCUUGUGCUACUGCCGCUGGCUAUUGCUACCUUGCUGCUGCUACUCUGCUUCCUUCGUUGGUGCUUGCUGUCGCUGCUGCUCCUAGAUGCUGUUGCUUCCUCCUGCUGCCGCUACUAGCUGAUGCUCCAAGCCGCUAGCUGCUGCUACUAAUGGCCUUGGCUGAGGCCAUGGCCGAGCACAAGCUUUGUGCUUUGUGCGUGCACAGCCACCGCUGGCCGGCCCUUGCAAAUUAGCUUUGGGGGGUAAUCACUAGUUAGUUUAACUACUAGCCAAUGACAGUAGCCCCCACUAUUAGUUAAUAUAAUUUAAUCAAAGUCUAAAUGACCAUAGUCAAUGACACGUGGAACCCGCUUACACUAUUCACUCUUUGACUAUUCAACCUUUGACUGGGUCAACCCAACCCCAUGGCCCCACUGUCAUACUCAUAGGCUGGAGUAACACUAGGUGACAAAAGUAUUUUGCUGUUUUAAUUUCGAAUUAAAAUAAAAAUCCUGAAAAUUCAGAAAAUCUUUUAAACUUCGAAUAAUCAUAUAAAAUAAACCGUAGCUCGGAUGAAAAUACUUUAUACAUGAAAGUUGCUCAGAACGGCGAGACGAACCCAGAAACGCAGCCCGUUCAUCCGCCACACCUCCCUAACCCAUCGAACUCGCAACUUUCCACCUCCGGUUCAUCUGUCCGGAAAUGCGAAACACCGGGGAUACUUUCCCGGAUGUUUUCCCCCUUCGCCGGUAUCACCUACUACCUCGUUAGGGCACACCUAGCACUGCGUAUUGCUAUGUUAUGCUUUGUGAUGCUUUGAUUGCUCUGUUAUUUAUUAUGUUCCCCUUCCGUUACUUCUUUCCGGUAGACCUCGAGACUGCUGGCGACCCCCAGUUCGACUACGGAGUUGAUGACCCCUC